This 238-nucleotide ribosomal RNA is filed under the name uncultured bacterium. RNAcentral describes it as "partial 16S ribosomal RNA". It matches the Rfam family "Bacterial small subunit ribosomal RNA", at positions 118 to 351 of the family's 1533-position model. The record is from RNAcentral.
UGAGUAACCUGUCCUUAACUCUGGGAUAAGCCUGGGAAACUGGGUCUAAUACCGGAUAUGACUCCUCAUCGCAUGGUGGGGGGUGGAAAGCUUUAUUGUGGUUUUUGGAUGGACUCGCGGCCUAUCAGCUUGUUGGUGAGGUAAUGGCUCACCAAGGCGACGACGGGUAGCCGGCUGAGAGGGUGACCGGCCACACGUGGGACUGAGACACGGCCCAGACCUCCGUACGGGGAGGCAG